Molecule: ribosomal RNA, 434 nt
Filed under: uncultured archaeon
Lineage: Archaea
Description: bacterial SSU rRNA
Rfam family: Archaeal small subunit ribosomal RNA
Source: RNAcentral
GGACCUGACUGCUAUCGGAUUGAUACUAAGCCAUGCGAGUCAUUGUAGCAAUACAAGGCAUACGGCUCAGUAACGCGUAGUCAACCUAACCUAUGGACGGGAAUAACCUCGGGAAACUGAGAAUAAUGCCCGAUAGAACAUUAUGCCUGGAAUGGUUUAUGUUCCAAAUGAUUUAUCGCCGUAGGAUGGGGCUGCGGCCUAUCAGUUUGUUGGUGAGGUAAUGGCCCACCAAGACUAUUACAGGUACGGGCUCUGAGAGGAGUAGCCCGGAGAUGGGUACUGAGACACGGACCCAGGCCCUAUGGGGCGCAGCAGGCGAGAAAACUUUGCAAUGUGCGAAAGCACGACAAGGUUAAUCCGAGUGGUUUCUGCUAAAGAAACCUUUUGUCAGUCCUAGAAACACUGAUGAAUAAGGGGUGGGCAAGUUCUGGUGU